CAUCAGAAGCAAUUAUGUUGUGACAAUGUGGCACUCUGGGGAAAUCCUGGUCCAUCUGGACAAAGCAUGGUCAGACCAGGCUGAUAGCUGGGAGCUGUGGAGCAUGUGAUGCAUCUUCCAUAUAGGGGCAGGAGCAAACCAAGACCAACUGAUGGACGCCCUAGGGCCAGACUUGCAGACAAUAUAUAACCUACUGCAUGAUCUAAAACGCUUCCCACUUCCACAGAGUGAACAUCAGGCAGAGCGGAGCCGCAGCGAGGGAAGAGGAGUCCUGUGUGCAGAGCUUGGGAGGAGCAUCCUCCAGAUCUGGGGAGAAAAGGGACCGACUCCAUUUCUGACGUGCUGUAAGGAGCAAGUGCAAGCCUGGAUGGAGCGAGCCACGGACGGGGCAGGGAUUGCAGAGGCAUCCCAUCACUCUGUGGCACAGGUUCCUCUCCAGCAUCCAGGAUGAUUUCCUGGGCACAACAUCAGCCACCCCACCCCAAAUCUGGGGCAGGCACCGAGCCUGGCACCGGGAGCGCGGGGCAGGGCUGGCAGAGGCAGCGGGGCUGGCACAGCUGUGUGGCUUUCAGAGAUACUUGAUCGAUAGCUCCUUCCUCCCGCUCCCCCCGCUCCCCCAGUCCCCACAUGCAUUUUUCAUGCGAACCCCUCCUG
Molecule: long non-coding RNA, 654 nt
Organism: Corapipo altera (White-ruffed manakin)
Lineage: Eukaryota; Metazoa; Chordata; Aves; Passeriformes; Pipridae
Exons: 3
Source: RefSeq, a predicted model, not a curated record